GAUGAACGCUAGCGACAGGCCUAACACAUGCAAGUCGAGGGGUAGCAGUAGAUUAGCUUGCUAAUCUAGCUGACGACCGGCGCACGGGUGAGUAACACGUAUGCAACCUGCCUUUUACAGGGGAAUAGCCCAGAGAAAUUUGGAUUAAUGCCCCAUAAAAUCAAUCAUUCGCAUGUUUGAUUGAUUAAAGCUCCGGCGGUAAAAGAUGGGCAUGCGUUCUAUUAGUUAGUUGGUAAGGUAACGGCUUACCAAGGCGACGAUAGAUAGGGGUUCUGAGAGGAUAGUCCCCCACACUGGUACUGAGACACGGACCAG
RNAcentral lists this ribosomal RNA (315 nucleotides) under uncultured bacterium. RNAcentral's name for it is "bacterial SSU rRNA". It matches the Rfam family "Bacterial small subunit ribosomal RNA", at positions 28 to 334 of the family's 1533-position model. The record is from RNAcentral.